RNAcentral lists this ribosomal RNA (253 nucleotides) under uncultured bacterium. RNAcentral's name for it is "partial 16S ribosomal RNA". It matches the Rfam family "Bacterial small subunit ribosomal RNA", at positions 524 to 776 of the family's 1533-position model. The record is from RNAcentral.
UACGUAGGGGGCAAGCGUUGUCCGGAAUCAUUGGGCGUAAAGAGCGUGUAGGCGGUUCGGUAAGUCGGCUGUGAAAGUCCAGGGCUCAACCCUGGGAUGCCGGUCGAUACUGCCGGACUAGAGUUCGGAAGAGGCGAGUGGAAUUCCCGGUGUAGCGGUGAAAUGCGCAGAUAUCGGGAGGAACACCUGUGGCGAAAGCGGCUCACUGGACCAUAACUGACGCUGAUGCACGAAAGCUAGGGGAGCAAACAGG